GACGAACGCUGGCGGCGUGCCUAAUACAUGCAAGUAGAACGCUGAAGAGAGGAGCUUGCUCUUCUUGGAUGAGUUGCGAACGGGUGAGUAACGCGUAGGUAACCUGCCUUGUAGCGGGGGAUAACUAUUGGAAACGAUAGCUAAUACCGCAUAACAAUGGAUGACACAUGUCAUUUAUUUGAAAGGGGCAAUUGCUCCACUACAAGAUGGACCUGCGUUGUAUUAGCUAGUAGGUGAGGUAAUGGCUCACCUAGGCGACGAUACAUAGCCGACCUGAGAGGGUGAUCGGCCACACUGGGACUGAGACACGGCCCAGACUCCUACGGGAGGCAGCAGUAGGGAAUCUUCGGCAAUGGGGGCAACCCUGACCGAGCAACGCCGCGUGAGUGAAGAAGGUUUUCGGAUCGUAAAGCUCUGUUGUAAGUCAAGAACGGGUGUGAGAGUGGAAAGUUCACACUGUGACGGUAGCUUACCAGAAAGGGACGGCUAACUACGUGCCAGCAGCCGCGGUAAUACGUAGGUCCCGAGCGUUGUCCGGAUUUAUUGGGCGUAAAGCGAGCGCAGGCGGUUUGAUAAGUCUGAAGUUAAAGGCUGUGGCUCAACCAUAGUUCGCUUUGGAAACUGUCAAACUUGAGUGCAGAAGGGGAGAGUGGAAUUCCAUGUGUAGCGGUGAAAUGCGUAGAUAUAUGGAGGAACACCGGUGGCGAAAGCGGCUCUCUGGUCUGUAACUGACGCUGAGGCUCGAAAGCGUGGGGAGCGAACAGGAUUAGAUACCCUGGUAGUCCACGCCCGUAAACGAUGAGUGCUAGGUGUUGGAUCCUUUCCGGGAUUCAGUGCCGCAGCUAACGCAUUAAGCACUCCGCCUGGGGAGUACGACCGCAAGGUUGAAACUCAAAGGAAUUGACGGGGGCCCGCACAAGCGGUGGAGCAUGUGGUUUAAUUCGAAGCAACGCGAAGAACCUUACCAGGUCUUGACAUCCCGAUGCUAUUUCUAGAGAUAGAAAGUUACUUCGGUACAUCGGUGACAGGUGGUGCAUGGUUGUCGUCAGCUCGUGUCGUGAGAUGUUGGGUUAAGUCCCGCAACGAGCGCAACCCCUAUUGUUAGUUGCCAUCAUUCAGUUGGGCACUCUAGCGAGACUGCCGGUAAUAAACCGGAGGAAGGUGGGGAUGACGUCAAAUCAUCAUGCCCCUUAUGACCUGGGCUACACACGUGCUACAAUGGUUGGUACAACGAGUUGCGAGUCGGUGACGGCGAGCUAAUCUCUUAAAGCCAAUCUCAGUUCGGAUUGUAGGCUGCAACUCGCCUACAUGAAGUCGGAAUCGCUAGUAAUCGCGGAUCAGCACGCCGCGGUGAAUAAAUUCCCGGGCCU
RNAcentral lists this ribosomal RNA (1370 nucleotides) under uncultured bacterium. Its description in RNAcentral is "bacterial SSU rRNA". It matches the Rfam family "Bacterial small subunit ribosomal RNA", at positions 28 to 1381 of the family's 1533-position model. The record is from RNAcentral.